RNAcentral lists this ribosomal RNA (459 nucleotides) under uncultured bacterium. RNAcentral's name for it is "bacterial SSU rRNA". It matches the Rfam family "Bacterial small subunit ribosomal RNA", at positions 30 to 507 of the family's 1533-position model. The record is from RNAcentral.
AUUGAACGCUGGCGGCAUGCUUUACACAUGCAAGUCGAACGGCAGCGCGGGGGCAACCCUGGCGGCGAGUGGCGAACGGGUGAGUAAUGUAUCGGAACGUAUCCUGUAAUGGGGGAUAACCAGUCGAAAGAUUGGGUAAUACCGCAUACGCACGAGAGUGGAAAGUAGGGGAUCGCAAGACCUUACGUUAUAGGAGCGGCCGAUAUCUGAUUAGCUAGUUGGUGGGGUAAUGGCCUACCAAGCCGACGAUCCAUAGCUGGUUUGAGAGGAUGAUCAGCCACACUGGGACUGAGACACGGCCCAGACUCCUACGGGAGGCAGCAGUGGGGAAUCUUAGACAAUGGGCGCAAGCCUGAUCUAGCCAUGCCGCGUGAGCGAUGAAGGCCUUAGGGUUGUAAAGCUCUUUCGUGGGGGAAGAUAAUGACUGUACCCCAAGAAGAAGCCCCGGCUAACUCCGUG